Molecule: ribosomal RNA, 250 nt
Filed under: uncultured bacterium
Lineage: Bacteria
Description: partial 16S ribosomal RNA
Rfam family: Bacterial small subunit ribosomal RNA
Source: RNAcentral
GACAGAGGAUGCAAGCGUUAUCCGGAAUGAUUGGGCGUAAAGCGUCUGUAGGUGGUUUGACAAGUCUUUGUCAAAGAUCAGGCUUAACCCUGGGCCGGCAAGAGAAACUAUCAGACUAGAGUUCGGUAGGGGCAGAGGGAAUUCCCGGUGGAGCGGUGAAAUGCGUAGAGAUCGGGAGGAACACCAAAGGCGAAAGCACUCUGCUGGGCCGCAACUACACUGAGAGACGAAAGCGAGGGGAGCAAAUGGG